This is an RNA transcript of Capsicum annuum, 3337 nucleotides long. It is a transcript of the gene named guanine nucleotide exchange factor SPIKE 1, with no coding region annotated. The record is from RefSeq and is a predicted model, not a curated record. The transcript has 4 exons. NCBI's taxonomy places the organism in Eukaryota, Viridiplantae, Streptophyta, Magnoliopsida, Solanales, Solanaceae.
UUAAAGCUGUCUAUCUUUUCACUUAAACAUACAGAAGAGUUCUCUGUACAAUUAACAAAAUUUGCCCUAAUUUGCAUCUCUCAAGUUUCUCCUUACUGCUGUGUGCGCAAACUUGAUACUCGAUUCCCUUCAGUGAGGUCUACUUUACACUAUUUUUCCUGUGUAAUGCAAUUUGUAUUGCCUAUAGAUUGGUCAUCGUGCUUUAGCAACCCCAAUGUGUUUUCUUGCAUAUCCUUGUGCUCGCAGUGUUGGGAUGUCCUUUUGGACUUAUUUUUGAUUGUAUAUAUCGGAUGCUUAGUGAUUGAAAAGGUCACUGAACCAAAAAAGCCCAGGGUUAUUACAACUUGUUUUAUGUUUUCUCGUUAUAUGUUAAUAUGUUGUCUUAGUUUAAAUUAAUCUGGUGUAUUUUUCAUAUGGGUUUGGGAUAAUUUUCUGCAUCAGCAAAGAGUAUGUCUCUGCCUCUUUAUCGGCAGUGUCUUGGGUAGUAUCUACUUGUGCAAAAAUCACAUCUCCAAUAUUAUCUAUGAACUCACUUUUGCUGACAUCAUCAGUAUUACACAUAAUUAUGACAAUUGGUACCUUUUUGCAGUGAAUGGGUUUGUAAGCUUUAGGUAUUCUAAUUGUAUCCAAUUUAAGAAGAUUUAAUGCAUUUAAGAUUUUUAAUUGUAGCCAAUCAGUACGGUACAUAAUUGUAAAUUAUUUUGGUAGCCAAUUUAAGAAGAUUUUCCAUUUGUUUAAUGAUACAAAUUUCUUAUAUGCUACCCAAACAUAGUCGUCUCAUGAGAAAAUCUGAAUAUAAUAUAGCUGAUGACAUAAAUUAGGUCUUUCGUGUUGUAGGACGAGUGUUUCAUUAGCCGUGGUUUGAUUUUAGCUCACUUGUUUGUCAAUGUGGUCUUCCAAGAGAAUCAGAAUUCAUUAUGUCAAUUGUUAAAUGUCUUGUGUUAUUUUCCUGUUCAAAUUUUAGAAUAGUGAUAAGAAAUCUUUUAACAUUUAAGAAUGCUUUAAGAACCAAGUUCAACUACUAUAGGUGAUUUAUAGGAGAAAAUGGUACUCCCUUUGUUUCGAUUUGCCCAUCUUACUUCCCUUUUUAGUUCGUUUCCAAAGGCUUGACUCUUUCCUUUUUUGGACUACUCCUUAAUUCUAACUUUCCAUAUAUCAUCUUUAAAACCAAAAAAUUGAAGGACAUUUUGGUUCAUUCUACAUGUCUUUAGUUUAAGACCAAUGGAUUCAAAAGUCUUCUUUAUUAAACCUCGUGCCAAGUCAAAACCGGACAAACAAACUAAAAUAGAGGGAGUUUAGAUUAAAAGGUUCUGUCACACCACUAAAUCGUUUAAUUGUUCUAGAACAGGGCAUGCCAUAUUGCCAUUGGACCUUCUUGGAAAAUAAUUUGCACUAGCAAUUUUGCCAUCUAAAAUGCUGGUGUUUGGUGUUAUUUGUCUGUUACUAGACUAUUUGGCUCAGCGGUACUCAUAUUGGUUCUACAUAUUUUGCCGCAUAGAAAACCUGCUGAUGACAUGCUUGUUGGUAGUAGUUCUAGUAGUGUGAUAGGGUAUGGACCUUCAUCCCCAAAAUAUUCUGGCAGACUUUCACCUGCAAUCAACCACUAUAUGUCUGAGCAGCAAGGCAAGAAGUCAUAGUACAUUAUAUGCAUUCAAAGUUGACCAACCCUUUUGAGCUUCCCAAUUUUUAAGUUUUGCACAUGCAAUCUCUCUCUCACCCUCCCUUUCUUUUGUGAUAAAACUUUUUUUCCUUUUUUCUUCUGUGGUACUCAACAUCUAAUAUCUAUACAUCUUCUGGGAACUCCGGAAAAUGGUUAUUUGUGGUAGAGGUUCAACUCCCAGUUAAGCUCGCCUAGUUAGCCAUAUUCUAUGAGAGAAGUCUUAGCUCAAGCCCAUUCCUCCAAAAUUGGAGCUUUAACACUAGUCUUCAGGGAAUCAUUGUACCCAAUCUUAAGGCAAAAGAUGGUACUCCUCUUAUGGGUUUUAUUUGUUUUAUUUCCUACACUGAGAAACCUUGGAAUAUUUUCUAUCACUAGUCAGAAGUCAUAAACCUUGUUAUACAUAUAUUUACAACAUUUAUAUCUUUCUUUUUCUUUCAUAAUUUAGUUUCUAUUGCCAAUAAUAGUAAGAACGUUUCAGGAAAUUUGGGAAGAGAACCUGAGUGCUGCUGUUAGUCUUGAAGUUUUAGAAUUUUUUGAGAAGUUCUCACGGUCUGCUACAACAAAGCGUAUUGCUACUGAGUUGACUGUAUCACAUCCUUAUUUAUGAAUGUAUUCUCAUGAAAUCAACUGUUCUUUUUUUGGAAAGCACUCUUUCCUGUCUUUAACAGUGUCUUUGAACUUCACGGAGCGACAUUGAUGGCAAGAGAAAAUGAUCAUUUCUAAAGCAAAUUGCUUUCCACCUUCUCCGACUUGCAGUGUUUCAAAAUAAAAAUAUAAGGAAAAGGGUUGUAAUUGGGAUGGAGAUACUUAUUUGGGUUAGGGUUGUAGUGGAAGUUUAUAUAUUGCUGUUCCUGUUCACAUUGUUUACUGUUUUUAGUUUUGUUUCAAUCUGCAGAGCUUGUUCUCUUAUUUUAUGCAGACGAGAAGAUUAAGAGUCAUGCUAACCAUUACAUUGUCAGAGUUAAUGUCUGAAGUUCAAGAAUGUCUGAAGUUCAAGUAACACAAACGAAACCUGAUGGAAUACUAAAAGAAAUUUGUGAUGCUCAUCGUCUUCAAAAUUCUUUUGAGGAAAUAGAAAAUGAGGCUAAGAGUUCCUCCUUAUUAGUAGAGUCUUGGAUCCCAGUAAAUGCAGUGGUUACUGUUCACGAAGGAUCAGCAGAAAACCUCUGGUACUGGUCUGAGGUGAAAUUUCUUUCUGAGAGUGUUCUUAUGGCUCUUGAUGCCAUCCUGGAAUAUGCACUUCUGGCUCUGUUAUGAAUGUCGACAGAUAUGCAGCUGCAGAGAGCUUUAAUAAACUAGCGAUGACAUUUUCUCCUGUGCCAGAUCUUCACAUAAUGUGGUUACUGCAUCUUUGUGAUGCUCAUCAAGAAAUGCAGUCUUGGGCAGAAGCUGCUCAAUGCGCUGUUGUUGUUGCUGGUGUAGUGAUGCAGGAGUUAUUUAAUUUAGGUGAAAUAGUAGGAACUGAAAGUCGAGGACUUGAUUAUUUUUGGCCCUGUGAUGGAAGCAGGCAAUUUGAACCGAAAGCCAAUGACUUAAACAGUAGCAACAGGAGUUUAUUUUUUUGCUAUUUAUUCAAAUGUUAUGGAAUAUUUGAUAUCAUACUCUAGCUCGAUCGGGAUGGUAACUAUGUUUUUUGUGAAACAAAUAUUGAAACUAAUAUCAUCGGAUCUUAACUAA